CCUACGGGAGGCAGCAGUGGGGAAUAUUGCACAAUGGGGGAAACCCUGAUGCAGCGACGCCGCGUGAGUGAAGAAGUAUUUCGGUAUGUAAAGCUCUAUCAGCAGGGAAGAAAAAAGACGGUACCUGACUAAGAAGCCCCGGCUAACCACGUACCAGCAGCCGCGGUAAUACGGAGGGGGCAAGCGUUAACCGGAUUUACUGGGUUUAACGGGGUCGUAGAGGGAGAAGGAAGUCUAAAGUGAAAGCCCGUGGCUUAACCACGGGACUGCUUUUGAAACUGUUUGACUAGAGUGCUGGAGAGGUAAGUGGAAUUCCUAGUGUAGCGGUGAAAUGCGUAGAUAUUAGGAGGAACACCGGUGGCGAAGGCAGCUUAAUGGACAGUAACUGACGUUGAGGCUCGAAAGCGUGGGGAGCAAACAGGAUUAGAUACCCCAGUAGUC
This 441-nucleotide ribosomal RNA is filed under the name uncultured bacterium. RNAcentral describes it as "partial 16S ribosomal RNA". It matches the Rfam family "Bacterial small subunit ribosomal RNA", at positions 338 to 795 of the family's 1533-position model. The record is from RNAcentral.